UGUCUUUUCUCCAAAGGAAGACAGCACUUUGAAAAUUCUUUCAAUGGAUUUUUUUUUUCCUUGAAAGAUCGUACUGGGGGAAAACGAAAACGAUACUUCUAUUAGUUACAUAGUCUCCAAUCCCACACUUGCACCCCCCGGUUUUAAGAUCGCUCUCCUAGGCAGGCUCAGGCGGGCGCACAGCAGCAGUGACAAAGCCGCGGCUGCCACCGCCCGGAGUGGGAGUCCCUCUUGCCAGCCCACCCCUUGACUCGUGAGAGCGUAAAAGUUUGUCUCUGCUCAAGCGUUCCGAGCGCCCCCAGGUAAAGGUGGAAGCUGUAUUGAAGAGUUGUGAAUCUCUGUGUUGCCAUCUACUGUAAGAAGAUGCUUCUGUGAUGAGAGUUGGGGAAUCUAAUGAUCUAAAGGUGGUCAUGGAUUUGCGUCGCAGGUUGCAGCAGAUGGGUGCCGUCAACAGGAACCCCAGACUUGGUCUCUGGCCACUGGUGUCUUCUAGUGUGGCGCUCUACUCUCCCACUGAGCUCUCCCUGUGCAAGCCGAGAAGCUUGGCUAGAAUUUGGCCUUUUCUUUUUAUGAUAAGCUGUCGUUGAGAAAGGAACUUUGACAAUAGAAGUAACCAACUACAGGUCCAUUUCUACUGUGGAAAGCAGCUGCAAACACAUCCCUAUGGAUGAAAAGAGAAGGGAGCACCAAUUGCUGCGAUGAAGUCUGUACCGUGGAUUCCAAAGGGAGCUGUGAAGGUUCUUCUCAGAGUCGUCAGUGUGUAAAUACUGUGUUCCCAAGGUCUUCCUACAGUCAUACUAGCAUCUGGGACUCAAUGCGCAGAACUUGGCAGUUUUGAACAACUACUUGUGAUUGAAAAAUGAUCAACAAAUUUAAGGUCCCAAAGCGUGGUUUUGGUACCAAAAAGCCGAUGUCUUGCCGCUUGCCCCUCUCUUUCCGCGCUCCACACCUGAAUGUUGGACCCCCAAAUUGUUCCGUGAAUUUUUUAAUCAAAAUAAAGAAAAAACUUAGUAUACCCUAUUUGGAGCUAGUGUGGGAUUAUUUGAUUCGCAUCUCCCACCACCUGACGUGUUCCACUUCAGUAACUAAUUUUCUUAAUAGAUAUUAGGUUUUAAAGAUUGUAUAGACCGUAACACUAUUGUCUUUCUGAAUAAGCUCUCCAAAUGCUUAGGUAUUAAUCAAUUCAAGUUGGAAAAGGACAUUUCUGUUUGAAAAUUAUAAAAGGGAAGUUAAAGGACAUACCAUUUUUUAAAAAUCACAUUUAAAGUUUCAUUUGCUUUAAAGUUGUCAUCCUGAUAUCAUGCAGUCUUGAUUAAAUGACUAUUAUGUCUAGAAUUACUAAAAUGACACAGUUUUGCAUGAUCCAAUAGCUUUACAUUUAAAAACCACCAUUUUAUCACAUUAUUCUAUCAAUAUGUGAAGGUUUACAUUGGCUUUGUAUUUUAUCUCUAUUAUAAUUGAACAAGUGUAUAUUAAUUAAUGGUUAAAUAUUCUUUUUAGCAUCUGGUUAUGUUAUAAUCUUGACUGGAGAAAGAAUGUACAGUAAUGAGAUUAAAAGGAGGCUUAAUGUUAAGUUAUAUUACAUUAAAUGACUUAUGUACUUUAGAAUAUAUAGAAGUAACUUAAUGAGAUAUACAGAACUGAAAUGGAAUUUUCUGAACUACAUAUUCACCAAUUAAUUUAAAAAUGAAUGGGGAAAUGGUUUAAAAAUGAGAUUUUCCUUACUUAAGCAAAAAAAUACUAAGAUUUAAUUUUGUAGGAAGAUAUUAUAUACUUUGGGCAUUCUACUUUUAUAUUCUUUAGCCUAGUUUAUAGCUAAAAAACUUUAAAGUAAAUAUGUGUUCUAAUUUUAGCUGUUAAGAAACAGUGAUUUAAAUUGACAAUAAAAGGUAUAAUGAAAUACGACACUAAGAGGAAAAAUUGGAGGAUCUUACUGGGUCUGUUAUUCAUUCAAUUUCUGGCAGUCUUUAUGAUUACAGAUCACCUGACUGGCUAACUAGACAUUCUUAGAAUGAAUUAUGUCUCAGAUUCAUUUUACUUGAUCAAUUGUUGGUAUAUGCUAUAGCUCUACUUUGUGAUAUAUCAAAUUUUCUAACAGAAUAAGAUGUACAAUCAACUCUUUAUUUCAGAAAAAGUAAAUUGACUUAAAAAAUGAAGCACUGUUUCGAACAAUUUUAACAACAGUAUAAUUUCUGCUUUUGUAUUUCAAAGUGGAUUUAUGAUGGUGAAUUUAUCUUUUCAGAUCAAAAAAUUAUUAGGAUGAUUUAUUAAUAUUCAUACAAUUUCUAUAAAAUGAUGUCAGUUCUAUAGGCCGUUUGGGCAGUUGCCUAAACUCAGGCU
This is a non-coding RNA of Myodes glareolus (Bank vole), 2340 nucleotides long. The record is from RefSeq and is a predicted model, not a curated record. NCBI's taxonomy places the organism in Eukaryota, Metazoa, Chordata, Mammalia, Rodentia, Cricetidae.